AGUGAACGCUGGCGGUAGGCCUAACACAUGCAAGUCGAACGGCAGCACAGGAGAGCUUGCUCUCUGGGUGGCGAGUGGCGGACGGGUGAGGAAUACAUCGGAAUCUACUCUGUCGUGGGGGAUAACGUAGGGAAACUUACGCUAAUACCGCAUACGACCUACGGGUGAAAGCAGGGGAUCUUCGGACCUUGCGCGAUUGAAUGGGCCGAUGUCGGAUUAGCUAGUUGGCGGGGUAAAGGACCACCAAGGCGACGAUCCGUAGCUGGUCUGAGAGGAUGAUCAGCCACACUGGAACUGAGACACGGUACAGACUCCUACGGGAGGCAGCAGUGGGGAAUAUUGGACAAUGGGCGCAAGCCUGAUCCUGCCAUACCGCGUGGGUGAAGAAGGCCUUCGGGUUGUAAAGCCCUUUUGUUGGGAAAGAAAUCCAGCUGGCUAAUACCCGGUUGGGAUGACGGUACCCAAAGAAUAAGCACCGGCUAACUUCGUGCCAGCCGCCGCCGUAA
Molecule: ribosomal RNA, 506 nt
Filed under: uncultured bacterium
Lineage: Bacteria
Description: partial 16S ribosomal RNA
Rfam family: Bacterial small subunit ribosomal RNA
Source: RNAcentral